GUUUCAGGGCGGGGUGAAAGUCCCCACCGGUGGUAAAUCUCCAACUGGGAGAUGAGCCCACGACCGUUUCUAUUGGAAACGCUGAUCUGGUGAGAUCCCAGAGCCGACGGUCAAAGUCCGGAUGAAAGAAA
This 131-nucleotide non-coding RNA is filed under the name uncultured Pygmaiobacter sp. RNAcentral's name for it is "FMN riboswitch (RFN element)". It matches the Rfam family "FMN riboswitch aptamer (RFN element)". Rfam says of the family: The RFN element is a highly conserved domain that is found frequently in the 5'-untranslated regions of prokaryotic mRNAs that encode for flavin mononucleotide (FMN) biosynthesis and transport proteins. This element is a metabolite-dependent riboswitch that directly binds FMN in the absence of proteins. Lineage: Bacteria; Bacillati; Bacillota; Clostridia; Eubacteriales; Oscillospiraceae. The record is from RNAcentral.